This 103-nucleotide microRNA precursor is filed under the name Cicer arietinum (chickpea). RNAcentral's name for it is "MIR1507 microRNA precursor family". It matches the Rfam family "MIR1507 microRNA precursor family". Lineage: Eukaryota; Viridiplantae; Streptophyta; Magnoliopsida; Fabales; Fabaceae. The record is from Rfam by way of RNAcentral.
CAAUGUUGGGUAGAGUUGUAUGGAGUGAAAGAUGGUUUUUUUUUGGGAUUUUCUAAAUUGAACUUUCCCUCUUUCAUUCCAUACAUCGUCUAACCAAAAUAAU